GACUGCCUUAUCUAAUCCCUUGCAUGCCAGUAUUCGUGGAGUGUGUCCGUAGCAGUCAUCUCUCAUGCAGCAUGUUCUGUUGGUUUGCUUCUGCUGUGUUGCCAUAUUUGCAAUAGAGGAGCUUCAUGGAGCAUGUUUCUGGUGGCACUGUUUGUCACCUAUGCAGGGAACUUUAGGCUUGCUGACCGGAUGUAGCCUCUGCUGUCACUGGCUUCUUGGUUGACUCGUAGGUAUGUUGCUUGGCUGGCUAAAACGCUGUGCUGGCUGGAUGUUUUAAGUGAGGAUAUCUUGCUAUUGCUUGGGCUGUGUUUGGCUUCCUGGGGUGGUUUCAAGCUGUUUGUCCAGCCUACUCUUGCAGGGUGUUCUAUUGGUUGCUUUGCUGUGUUGCUAUUCAGCUUCUAGUGGAAUGAGUCUGCUGCCUCUUGGCUUCUUCUGUACUAGCCUUCUACGCUAGUUGAUGUUGUCCAUUGUGGCCGGCUCUCUAGAGACGGCUUGCUGUAUGGUUCUGUUUAGCUGAUACUUUUGCUGAAUUGGGUGUGACAAUCCCUGGUUUGUGUUGUGAGGAUGGUUCUAGCUCAGCGAAACAGCCUUGCUGUAUUGUAGCUGGCCGCUGGAAUUUAUUCUUGCUCUUGCUUGUUUUGCUGCUGUGAUUUGCAGGUCUUCUUUGCUUCUACUUGCUGCCGGAGCAGGUGCAAAUCCUUUGCCUGCUCUCUUUUGUACGCUGGAGCUUCGAAUCACUUGGCUGGUUGUUCUUAUGUAUUGGACGUUGUUGUUGCCCCUGCUGUUGAUUGGGUUGCAUGGUUUUCUGCCUUCCUAUGUUGGAGCCUUACGUAAUACUGCUGGCGGGAUUUCUUUGCUUGCUCUCCAGCCUUGACUGCCCUAUCUAAUCCCUUGCAUGCCAGUUUUUGGGGAGUGUGUCCGUAGCAGUCAUCUCUCAUGCAACAUGCUUUGUUGGUUUGCUUUUGCUGUGUUGCCAUAAUUGCAAUAGAGGAGCUUCAUGGAGCAUGUUUUCUGGUGGCACUGUUUGUCACCACUGCAGGGAACUCUAGGCUUGCUGACCGGAUGUAGCCUCUGCUGUCACUGGCCUCUUGGUUGAUUCGUAGGUAUGUUGCUUGGCUGGCUAAUAUGCUGUGCUGGCUGGAUGUUUCAAGUGAGGAUAUCUUGCUAUUGCUUGGGCUGUGUUUGGCUUCCUGGG
RNAcentral lists this long non-coding RNA (1195 nucleotides) under Populus tremula. Its description in RNAcentral is "long non-coding RNA (PTRE_LNC003233)". Lineage: Eukaryota; Viridiplantae; Streptophyta; Magnoliopsida; Malpighiales; Salicaceae. The record is from RNAcentral.